ACGUAGGGUGCAAGCGUUGUCCGGAUUUAUUGGGCGUAAAGAGCUCGUAGGCGGUCUGUCGCGUCGGAUGUGAAAACUUGGGGCUUAACCCUGAGCUUGCAUUCGAUACGGGCAGACUAGAGGAUUGCAGGGGAGACUGGAAUUCCUGGUGUAGCGGUGGAAUGCGCAGAUAUCAGGAGGAACACCGGUGGCGAAGGCGGGUCUCUGGGCAAUUACUGACGCUGAGGAGCGAAAGCGUGGGGAGCAAACAGG
This 252-nucleotide ribosomal RNA is filed under the name uncultured bacterium. RNAcentral describes it as "partial 16S ribosomal RNA". It matches the Rfam family "Bacterial small subunit ribosomal RNA", at positions 525 to 776 of the family's 1533-position model. The record is from RNAcentral.